CUCAGAGCAUCCCCAGCUGGAGAGGUGCCUGCAGCACGUCCGCAAGGUGCUGGAGCAGGCUGCCGAGGUCCUGGGCCGUGCCAGCCAGCCGGCCGUGUGCGGCGAGGUGCUCCUGUCCCCUGCAGGGAUGGCGUAUGUCUCGGGCUUGGCUGAAGUGUACCGGGUCUCUCGGAGAGUGGCGAGCGGGGCGCGGGUCCCGC
Non-coding RNA from Pelodiscus sinensis (Chinese soft-shelled turtle), 200 nucleotides. The record is from RefSeq and is a predicted model, not a curated record. NCBI's taxonomy places the organism in Eukaryota, Metazoa, Chordata, Testudines, Trionychidae.